RNAcentral lists this ribosomal RNA (493 nucleotides) under uncultured bacterium. RNAcentral's name for it is "partial 16S ribosomal RNA". It matches the Rfam family "Bacterial small subunit ribosomal RNA", at positions 29 to 507 of the family's 1533-position model. The record is from RNAcentral.
ACGAACGCUGGCGGCGUGCUUAACACAUGCAAGUCGAACGGUGAAGCGCCUUCCUUUUUGGUGGGUGUGGAUGAGUGGCGAACGGGUGAGUAACACGUGAGUAACCUGCCCCCUUCUUCUGGAUAACCGCAUGAAAGUGUGGCUAAUACGGGAUAUUCUGGGUCUGUCGCAUGAUGGGUCUGGGAAAGAUAUUGUUUCGGUGGGGGAUGGGCUCGCGGCCUAUCAGCUUGUUGGUGGGGUGAUGGCCUACCAAGGCGGUGACGGGUAGCCGGCCUGAGAGGGUGGACGGUCACACUGGGACUGAGACACGGCCCAGACUCCUACGGGAGGCAGCAGUGGGGAAUAUUGCACAGUGGGCGCAAGCCUGAUGCAGCGACGCCGCGUGAGGGAUGGAGGCCUGCGGGUUGUGAACCUCUUUCGCUAGUGAAGCAGGCCUGCCUCGUUUGUGGGUGGGUUGACGGUAGCUGGAUAAGAAGCGCCGGCUAACUACGUG